This 445-nucleotide ribosomal RNA is filed under the name uncultured bacterium. RNAcentral describes it as "partial 16S ribosomal RNA". It matches the Rfam family "Bacterial small subunit ribosomal RNA", at positions 338 to 795 of the family's 1533-position model. The record is from RNAcentral.
CCUACGGGGGGCAGCAGUGGGGAAUAUUGGACAAUGGGGGCAACCCUGAUCCAGCAAUGCCGCGUGUGUGAAGAAGGCCUGCGGGUUGUAAAGCACUUUCAGUAGGGAAGAAAAGCUCGGGGCUAAUACCUCCGGGUCUUGACGUUACCUAAAGAAGAAGCACCGGCUAACUCCGUGCCAGCAGCCGCGGUAAUACGGAGGGUGCGAGCGUUAAUCGGAAUUAGUGGGCGUAGUGCGCAGGUAGGGGAUUCCCGGGGCGUAACCGGGGAACUGCAUUCGAUACUGCCCGGCUAGAGUAUGGGAGAGGGAAGCGGAAUUUCCGGUGUAGCGGUGAAAUGCGUAGAUAUCGGAAGGAACACCAAUGGCGAAGGCAGCUGCCUGGCCAAAUACUGACGCUGAGGUGCGAAAGCGUGGGGAUCAAACAGGAUUAGAUACCCGGGUAGUC